UACGAAGGGUGCAAGCGUUACUCGGAAUUACUGGGCGUAAAGCGUGUGUAGGCGGUCCUCUAAGUCGGAUGUGAAAUCCCUGGGCUCAACCCAGGAAGUGCACUCGAAACUGGAGGGCUAGAGUAUCGGAGAGGUUGGUGGAAUUCUCGGGUGUAGAGGUGAAAUUCGUAGAUAUCGAGAGGAACACCGGUGGCGAAAGGCGGCC
RNAcentral lists this ribosomal RNA (205 nucleotides) under uncultured bacterium. RNAcentral describes it as "partial 16S ribosomal RNA". It matches the Rfam family "Bacterial small subunit ribosomal RNA", at positions 524 to 726 of the family's 1533-position model. The record is from RNAcentral.